Molecule: unclassified non-coding RNA, 203 nt
Filed under: uncultured Trechispora
Lineage: Eukaryota; Fungi; Basidiomycota; Agaricomycetes; Polyporales; Polyporaceae
Description: partial internal transcribed spacer 2
Source: RNAcentral
AGUCAUCAACCCUUCCCGUUUUGUGCGGGACGCGGUUGGAGCUGGGGGCGUGCGGCCGCGAGGCCGCUCCCUUCAAAUGCAUCGGUUGGACCUGUGGGUCGAACUCGACUGGGCGUUGUACCAUCCUCGCUCUCCCCGAGACGUUCCCCUUCCGUGUCCUUCCACGACCUGCUGUAGAGCGGCGGUCAAAACCAAACUUUGAA